CUUUUUAAUGGGAUGGUUUUUUUUUUUUUUUGUAAGUUUGAAGUUCCGUAUAGAUGCUGGAUAUUAGGCCUUCACUAGAUGCAUAGUUUGCAAAAAUUGUCUCCCAUUCUGUAGGUUAUCUAUUUACUCUGUUGAUAGUUUCUUUUGCUGUGCAGAAGAGGCCCUAGCUUUCUUAUCAUUUCUAGUGCCAAAAUAAAACACAUAUGAAACUAAAGCAAAGGAACACAGGAAAAGUGGCUGAGAAAUUGGUACAAUAAUCUAGGCCAAUUGAGGAUAAAAGUUCCAAGAUUCAAAGGAUGAAGGCAGUGUCUGAUAGGCGGAUAUUAUGAUACAGAGAUUUUACUUGAGCAAUGCUUUAUUAAGAAGAGAAAUGAGGCCGGGCGUGGUGGCUCACACCUGUAAUCCCAGCACUUUGGGAGGCCAAGGCUGGUGGAUCACCUGAGGUCAGGAGUUCAAGACCAGCCUGGCCAACAUGGUGAAACCGCGUCUCUACUUAAAAAUACAAAAAUUAGCUGUCAUGGUGGCGGGAAAAAGAGAGAGAGAGAGAGAAACGAAAAACCUUAAAACAGGCACAGACAGCCAUACCCAACAUACAUUUGA
Molecule: long non-coding RNA, 600 nt
Filed under: Homo sapiens (human)
Lineage: Eukaryota; Metazoa; Chordata; Mammalia; Primates; Hominidae
Description: non-protein coding lnc-AKTIP-5:1
Source: RNAcentral